AUAUAUUAUCUUCUGUUAUAUCUGUACUUCUCAGUUUAAUAUCUGAUAUGUCAUUUGAGAACUGUAUAUUAAAUUGAUUUUUGAAACAGGAGGAUGGAAUAGAAGCUUGCUCUGUCCACCCCAGGCAUCGACCUGAUAUUGUGGUAUCUCCGGAAAUGGACCAUCUCCU
Molecule: small nuclear RNA, 169 nt
Filed under: Gopherus evgoodei (Goodes thornscrub tortoise)
Lineage: Eukaryota; Metazoa; Chordata; Testudines; Testudinidae
Description: U2 spliceosomal RNA (ENSGEVG00005000768.1)
Rfam family: U2 spliceosomal RNA
About the family: U2 is a small nuclear RNA (snRNA) component of the spliceosome (involved in pre-mRNA splicing). Complementary binding between U2 snRNA (in an area lying towards the 5' end but 3' to hairpin I) and the branchpoint sequence (BPS) of the intron results the bulging out of an unpaired adenosine, on the BPS, which initiates a nucleophilic attack at the intronic 5' splice site, thus starting the first of two transesterification reactions that mediate splicing.
Source: Rfam by way of RNAcentral